Molecule: transfer RNA, 71 nt
Filed under: Marmota monax (woodchuck)
Lineage: Eukaryota; Metazoa; Chordata; Mammalia; Rodentia; Sciuridae
Description: tRNA.Val
Source: RNAcentral
GUGGCUGUGGCUCAGCGAUAGAGCACUCAUCUCACAUGUUUGGGGUCCUGGGUUCCAUCCUCAGCACCACA